ACGCCUGCGACAGAGCCUCCUCUGAUCCACCGCCCCCCGGCAGAGGGGUCACGCAGAGGUGGUCUGUCGAGGGGAACGGCUCCGAGCUGUCUACCAGCUCCAGAGGGGCUAUUCGGCGUGUGAAACCCAGGAGAAGGUCUCCCGUCUAGAGUGCCGUGGCUCCUGUCUGGAGGGGGCUGAAGGGGGGGGCGGGAGCGGCUGCUGCUCCCCUUUACGUUCCAAACGCAGGAAAUACACCUUCCACUGCACCGACGGCUCCUCCUUCGUACAGGAAGUGGAGAAGGUGGUGAAGUGCGGCUGUACAAAGUGUCCUCCCUCGUAAAACGUCACCUCCUUUACCCUGGGAUGAAAGGUUCCGCUUCCUGUUCCUGCUCCUGUCUCUCUCUGGAAGGAAACCCAUCCCUCUCUCCUCCUCUGACCUCAUCCCUCUCUCCUCCUCUGACCUCAUCCCCUUCUUCUCUUCCAACCUCAUCCCCCUUUCCUCC
Oncorhynchus gorbuscha (pink salmon) is the source of this 485-nucleotide long non-coding RNA. RefSeq lists it as uncharacterized. Lineage: Eukaryota; Metazoa; Chordata; Actinopteri; Salmoniformes; Salmonidae. The record is from RefSeq and is a predicted model, not a curated record. The transcript has 3 exons.